This 501-nucleotide ribosomal RNA is filed under the name uncultured bacterium. RNAcentral's name for it is "bacterial SSU rRNA". It matches the Rfam family "Bacterial small subunit ribosomal RNA", at positions 30 to 527 of the family's 1533-position model. The record is from RNAcentral.
AUUGAACGCUGGCGGAAUGCUUUACACAUGCAAGUCGAACGGUAGAGGGGGCAACCCCUUGAGAGUGGCGAACGGGUGAGUAAUAUAUCGGAACGUGCCCAGUCGUGGGGAUAACGUAGCGAAAGUUACGCUAAUACCGCAUACGAUCUAAGGAUGAAAGCGGGGGAUCGCAAGACCUCGCGCGAUUGGAGCGGCCGAUAUCAGAUUAGGUAGUUGGUGAGGUAAAGGCUCACCAAGCCAACGAUCUGUAGCUGGUCUGAGAGGACGACCAGCCACACUGGAACUGAGACACGGUCCAGACUCCUACGGGAGGCAGCAGUGGGGAAUUUUGGACAAUGGACGCAAGUCUGAUCCAGCCAUUCCGCGUGCAGGAUGAAGGCCCUCGGGUUGUAAACUGCUUUUGUACGGAACGAAAAGGUUUCUCUUAAUACGAGGAGCUCAUGACGGUACCGUAAGAAUAAGCACCGGCUAACUACGUGCCAGCAGCCGCGUAAAGUGACU